AAUAAAUUGAGAUGCUACAAAAUAAUAUACAGGGAUAUCGACAAAACUAAUUUUUUGAUACUGUGUUAUGUAUAUAAGCAAUUGAGACAUCCAUGUACGACAAAUGUACGACAUUAAUUAAAAAUGUAGCUUCCGGCAAGCUACUGUUAGCUGUGUCACAAACCGUGAAACGUAAACAAAGCUCGGAAAUUUUUGCGAUUUGUGGUAUGGUUGGACCGACCAAAAUGGCUGUAAUAUGUUCAAAAGUUCAUCUAAAAGUUCCAAAUUUCGUCUACUUCAAGC
This is a non-coding RNA of Paramuricea clavata, 282 nucleotides long. NCBI's taxonomy places the organism in Eukaryota, Metazoa, Cnidaria, Anthozoa, Malacalcyonacea, Plexauridae. The record is from the annotation of a GenBank genome assembly.